Oncorhynchus tshawytscha (Chinook salmon) is the source of this 500-nucleotide long non-coding RNA. Lineage: Eukaryota; Metazoa; Chordata; Actinopteri; Salmoniformes; Salmonidae. The record is from Ensembl.
UCCUUUCUGUUGUACAACUGACUAGGUACCCCCUUUCCUUUCUGUUGUACAACUGACUAGGUAUCCCCCUUUCCGUUCUGUUGUACAACUGAAUAUAUUUUUGAAUAUACUGAAUAUAUUUUUAUUUUUAAUCCCAGCCUCCGUCCCCUCGGGAGGCCUUUUGCAUUUUGGUAGGCCGUCAUUGUAAAGAAGAACUUGUUCUUAUCAAUCAAAUCAAUCAAUUCAUCAAAGGUAUUUAUAAAGCACUUCUCACAUCAGUUGAUGUCAUAAAGUGCUGUACAGAAACCCAGCCUAAAACCCCAAACAGCAAGCAAUGCAGGUGUAGAAGCACGGUGGCUAGGAAAAACUCCCUAGAAAGGCCUAAACCUAGGAAGAAACCUAGAGAGGAACCAGGCUAUGAGGGGUGGCCAGUCCUCUUCUGGCUUUGCCAGGUGGAGAUUAAAACAGUACAUGGCCAAGAUGUUCAAAUGUUCAUAAAUGACCAGCAGGGUCAAAUAAUA